This 468-nucleotide long non-coding RNA is filed under the name Elaeis guineensis (African oil palm). RNAcentral describes it as "long non-coding RNA (EGUI_LNC067713)". The record is from RNAcentral. Lineage: Eukaryota; Viridiplantae; Streptophyta; Magnoliopsida; Arecales; Arecaceae.
AUGGAAGGCUGCUGGGUGUAGUCAAGUACUUGACUUAUCGAUGCGUGUGUCAAGAUGGGAUUGACCACUCCAGUUUAGGAGCUGUGUACAGUCGUGUUUCAAUUUAGCAAGACCUUGGCCAGGGUAGUCCUUGUGAGAAGUCACAAGACUGUUUGAGUUGAGCACGAUUCAGAUGAUCUGAUCAGGAUUGACAGUUUAACCCUGAGUCAUCCUAAACACAGGGGUCAAAAGGAUGAAUUAUACAGUAACCAUAUUUAUGUAGGUUUUGAGUGUUGGGAUUGCGACUCUUCGACCUAUCCGAACGUCGGGUACCAUUGCUAGAUGGUCACUUCGAUUAGUACAGGAAUUGGUUCUUGUGCUACCGGCUUAGGUUCGAACCUGUGGGGUCACACACAUUAGAGGUUCCUAUCUAAUCUGAUGGCUGAUGUAGAAUCCUACAUGUUUGAGACUCAAUGAUUGAGAAUCAGG